RNAcentral lists this transfer RNA (87 nucleotides) under Candidatus Pacearchaeota archaeon. RNAcentral's name for it is "tRNA-Arg". It matches the Rfam family "tRNA". From Rfam's summary of the family: Transfer RNA (tRNA) molecules are approximately 80 nucleotides in length. Their secondary structure includes four short double-helical elements and three loops (D, anti-codon, and T loops). Further hydrogen bonds mediate the characteristic L-shaped molecular structure. tRNAs have two regions of fundamental functional importance: the anti-codon, which is responsible for specific mRNA codon recognition, and the 3' end, to which the tRNAs corresponding amino acid is attached (by aminoacyl-tRNA synthetases). tRNAs cope with the degeneracy of the genetic code in two manners: having more than one tRNA (with a specific anti-codon) for a particular amino acid; and 'wobble' base-pairing, i.e. permitting non-standard base-pairing at the 3rd anti-codon position. Lineage: Archaea; Nanobdellati. The record is from RNAcentral.
GGGCAUGUAGCUCAGUUGGAUAGAGCACCGCCCUUCUAAGGCGGGGGUCGCAGGUUCGAAUGAAAUCCGAAAAUCCUGUCAUGCCCA